RNAcentral lists this long non-coding RNA (517 nucleotides) under Homo sapiens (human). Its description in RNAcentral is "HSALNT0151553". Lineage: Eukaryota; Metazoa; Chordata; Mammalia; Primates; Hominidae. The record is from RNAcentral.
CGCCCAUCGUCUGAGAUGUGGGGAGCACCUCUGCCCCGCCGCCCCGUCUGGGAUGUGAGGAGCGCCUCUGCCCAGCUGCGACCCCGUCUGGGAGUUGCUGCCUCCCUGACUUGGUCUCAUUGUCCUCAAAUCAGACCUGCAGCUACGGUCCAAAGCAUCUGUAAACUUCAUCCUCAAAUGCACAGGAUCCACUGAGGACCCAACUUGUACUGCUGAGAACUAACCUACCUUCUGAACAAGGAGUCUGAUGUUUCUUUGGGAUCAUUGUUAGAAUGCCAGAUAAAAUAACAUGUAAGAGUUCAUUGUAGAUCACACAGUCUGAUCCGAGGAAGCAAUAAUCCCUUCUUUUAAAUGCAUUUUCUAGUCACAGUGUCCUCUGUCCAGGUGCUGAUCUCCCACUCUAGAAGGAGGAAUCAGCAAUGGCUGAAGGCACAGGUCUCCCAGGUUCACAGUCCCACUGCCGGGCAAUUAAAAAGCCUUGGUACAUCACACUCUGGGGACUGUUGUGGGGUGGGGG